This 253-nucleotide ribosomal RNA is filed under the name uncultured bacterium. Its description in RNAcentral is "partial 16S ribosomal RNA". It matches the Rfam family "Bacterial small subunit ribosomal RNA", at positions 524 to 776 of the family's 1533-position model. The record is from RNAcentral.
GACAGAGGUGCCGAGCGUUAGGCGGAAUCACUGGGCUUAAAGCGUGUGUAGGCGGACGGGUAAGUACCUUGUGAAAUCCCACGGCUCAACCGUGGAACGGCUGGGUAUACUGCCCGUCUUGAGCCACUUAGGGGCCGUCGGAACAAAUGGUGGAGCGGUGAAAUGCGUAGAUAUCUGGAGGAACACCGGUGGCGAAGGCGGCAUCCUGGACCGGCAUUGACGCUGAGGCGCGAAAGCCAGGGGAGCAAACGGG